Unclassified non-coding RNA from Pongo abelii (Sumatran orangutan), 117 nucleotides. It matches the Rfam family "Metazoan signal recognition particle RNA". From Rfam's summary of the family: The signal recognition particle (SRP) is a universally conserved ribonucleoprotein. It is involved in the co-translational targeting of proteins to membranes. The record is from Ensembl. NCBI's taxonomy places the organism in Eukaryota, Metazoa, Chordata, Mammalia, Primates, Hominidae.
GCUGGGCGUGGUGGCUCACGCCUGUAAUCCCAGCAUUUUGGGAGGCCGAGGCAGGCGGAUCACCUGAGGUCAGGAGUUUGAGACCAGCCUGGCCAACAUGGUGAAACCCUGUCUCUA